UUUAUGAGUUUUCCGAAUGUU
Molecule: non-coding RNA, 21 nt
Filed under: Caenorhabditis elegans
Lineage: Eukaryota; Metazoa; Nematoda; Chromadorea; Rhabditida; Rhabditidae
Source: RNAcentral